GCAGGAAUUGAGAAGUUAAGAAACAGUUGAUCCACACAGACUGGUAUGCUAAGAAAAUUUUCAUAGUCAAUCUCAUGAAGAUCAAUUUAGAUAAAAUCUCCUUCAGAGACUAAUGAGCAGGUCCCUAUCAGUAAAAUCUGAAGAUCAACAAUGGGAUAUCCAAAUCCAAAAACAAAACAACCCCCCAUUGGUUUUUUCUUCAAAUAUUUGAUUGAAGUAUCCUAUCUGCAAUAAAACUCUCAGUGUCUCUAAAUGACCUGAUGUUAUUAACUGUCUUUCAUGCUUGACCAUUACUAUCACUUAUACAUCAAGCAAACUUCACAAACAGAAGGACUAUAACAACAACAAUAAAUAAUAAGAAUGGAGAAUAAACAGCUUGUACUUUUGUGUUAUUCUUAUGCAAAUAAAAGGGGUAAGGUCUUGAGUUUGACUCCCGCCUUUGUCAAUUCAUUGCUAAUUUCAACAAAAAAUGAAAAGAAGGAAAUGGCAGCUGAUUCACUUGAUUCAUGCAAAUUUUUAGCAAUCAACAAUAAGAAAAUCUGGAUAUUUCAAAUGAUCACUUCAUGUAAUAAUAAUACUUUACAAGAAGUAUAGAAAUAAACAGGCUACCAAAAAAUGACCAAUAACCAUAUGAAGCAAGUUGUUGAAGUCUUAGCCAAACUCACAGGAUACAAGUGACAAUUCAUUGAGAGUGAAAUCCACUGUGAACCAUCCUCGGGUAGGAAUUCCAUUAACUAGGUACAACUUAUCCUUAUUUUGCAUAACUUGUGCAAUGCUAGUAGAAUUGUCAAGCCUGAGAUCAGGGGCACAAAUCCCCACACUAUCUUUAGUUAACUGCACAUCACACCAUAGGACAACACCCGGCAAACUUGUAAGUGUUGCAAACUGGAAAGCAUCUGAGCUAGAAUCAGGAAAUAAUCCUGAAAACCCGCCACGUGCUAUGACUAAAGGGGGAUUUCCUGCAGAAUGAAAUUAAUUAGUGAGCUUUUUUCAUUAUAAGGUCGAUUGACUCUACUCAAAUGUGUUAUAGGGUCAUAUUUUUAUCCAUGCAAAUUUACUGCAACACAGAUUGCAAGUUCACUAACCAAAAAUUGUUAUUGCAACACAAAUUACAUCAAAUUAUUUUGUGAGCAUAUAAGAAUUAGUUAAGUUGCAAGUUCAACAUUUUUUGGGUAUUCAUAAUAGAAAUAUUUUGGAAAGCACCAAGAAUCUUAUGAGUAGCCAUUUUUCUUGAAAGAAUUUUAUUGACCAACAUUCUUUUUUGUCAAUUUUCUCAACAAACUCAGAUUUAUAGAAACCUCCGGUUUUUGGAAAGCCAGGUUCAAGCAAAUUAACUAUCACAUAAAACAAUUGACUUAUCAGAACUUAGAGUGUGGGGAAAUGUAAAAAGAAAAAUGAAAAACCACCCACAACACCAAUAUCCAAAAGCCUGUAAUUCAUGAAAAAGAAAUGCAUGCACUUUUUUUUUUGUGUAUAAUGAACUGAACUGGUAGGAAUUUCAUAUAAAUUGAAGGUUUUCCAUAAAUGACAUGAUGUGAUUUCUCCAAGAAAAGAAAGAAAUUCAAGAAUUCAUUUUGCAUAAGCCCAUGAUGAGAUCAAAAUCAGCUUUCGAAAAAGAAAUCAAUUUUAAUCUUUGAAUUUAAAGUAAUCUUCAAGGCCCAAUACAAACAAGUUAUCUUAUUCUAGAAAUAGUAACCAUGUUGUUCCUUGCUAUUUUCUUAACUAAAGCUUAUUUAAAACGGUGUUUAACGAUCUAAGAUACCAUAAAUAAAAUUAUCACAAAUUCUACUAAUUACUCAUUUAUCAUAAAUCAAAUGUAAAAAAAAAAAAAAAGUAAAAUAUUGCAUCUCUUAUAUAUUUUCAAUAUUUAUUUAAGGCCAAAUCUUCAAAGACGGAAAGCAAACUCCCUACAAAUGCAACUAGCUCCUAAGCUGUAAUUCUAAAAUAGAAAAUCGAGCAUCACAUGCAUUUUCCUAGCAAACAAACACAAAAUCUAGAGGGAGAGAGAAAUCUGAGUGCGUGGUAGUGAGAGAAAAGCAAAGACAGACCGGUGAGUGUUUGCCAGGUAGUAGCAGAUCCCUGAGCAGAGACAACAACCACCAAUGACUGAAGUAGUAGUACAGCUAGUAGAGGAGUGAAGAACGAGCGUAAGUUACACAUUGCCGGAAAAUCUAGCCGGCGACUUGUUGGAGGAGCUUAAGCAAAACUCCGGCCAAUAUAUAUAUAUAUAGACAGAGACACCGACCAUUAAUCUUACUAAAACAAAUAUAUCAGAUAAUAUGUGGUAAAUUAACAAUUGAGUUGGACUAGAGAUCCCUAUCUGCCCACUCAGUGAUGGAAUCGGGAUGGCUCGAGCCACUGAGUAAAAGGUGACAAGUGCUGGUUGGAAGACAGCUAGAAUGGCGUCCACACCAUGAGCACAAACAAUCCGGCAACAGUCCACUUGUCAUGAUAUGAUUGGUUCUCCUAUUUUAGGAGAAGGUGACUUGUCAGCACGCAACGAGAAAACAAGAAGACAUCCACAAACGACAGAAGAUAUUGGAAAAAGAUGAUGGUGAACCAAUUGGCAACAAUAGUUUACAUUUAGGAGUCAAUAAAUAGACUUAUCAUUUUGACAUGACUAUUUUAAUAAUGACCCGUUGUUUUUUUAUAAUAAUUAUAUAUUUAUUUACUAAUUCUUUGUUUUAUAUAUAUUGUGGUUUUCUUGGGUUUUUAAUGGAAUAUAUAUAUAUAUAUAUAUAUAUAUAAACUAAACCUAGAGAUCUUUUCAUUAUACACGCAUGCAUUGUGCAUCCUUUUACAAAUUAUUAUUAAUUAAAUAAGUGAUCUUGUUUUUUUCAUUUUAAUCUCUAAUUUGUUUUUUUUGUACUGAAUCUUUUUCUAGCAAAGUUGAUAGUCAAUUGUUUCAAAAUGGUUAACAAAAGGCAAAAUUAAAGGAUAAAAGACUAAAGGGAAAAUAAAUGUUGUUUCUAUUGAUCUUUAAGUAAUACAUUUAUGAUUUUAUAUAUGUUUUGCCGAUAAUAAUAAUAUCAAAAUUAUACUAAUAAUAUGCUUGGUUGAGAAUAACUUUAAACUUGUUUUAUAUGAAGAAUAUCAACAAGCAUGGAUCAUGUCCAAGAAGAAAGCAAAACGAAGUAUUUAUUUUAGUGCUCAUGAUGUAAUCAUAUUAUUCGAUAGUUUCACCUACAUUUAACUAGUGUUUUGCCUAUGUUUUAUGUAUAAAAUGCCUUGAUAUUCUUUGUUUUAUGUUUUGAAGGCACCUUUAGAUGAAAGAUGCAAAAAGGAGUAAAUUGGAGGUAAUUGACAGAUUUGACCCUCAGUCGAUGUUUUGUGCAGAGCGUGAGUUCUAGAAGUCGAAAUGAAGUGAUUCUAGUGGCAUUAGAAAGAUAACAUCCAUACCUUUCUGGAAAUAUAAGUCAAGAAAAAUAAAAAUACAAAGAGCAUGGAAAUCACAUCCUUCAAAGUCAAAACUCGCAUUCUGCCAGUGUUGACCUUUGUCCAUUAAAAAUUCAAUAUCUGGAGCUACAGACAUCCAAUUGAUGCAAACUCAAUUGUGUUGGAUUCCUGACUCAAAUUCGUACAAACGCUCCAAAUUUCAGCCAAAAAAAAUGUCAUAUGAGGGAGAUAUGAUUUUUCAAAGAUGACAAUUGAAUUCUGCCAGCAAACAGGUUUCAUGAAGAAACGAAUCCAAAUUACAUCCCGAAGCAUCCAAACCGACAUCCAAGUUUUAAUUUCAGCAAUUUAGCUCCUCUAGUAAAUCAAUCCAGAAGGUCAAGGAAGGCAGCCACCAACCUCAAGCCACCAACCUCAAAUCACCAACCACAAACCAGCUGCCAACCACCAGCCACCAGCCGUCAGCCGCCUUCACACUACCACCAUCUAUCGAUGUUCACACUUGAACUUUGAUUCUUCUUACUUACAUUUUGUGUAUAAAUAGGCAGCUAAGUUUAUGCUAUGAAGAGAGCCAAUAGGGAAGGAAAGAGAGCCAAGAGAGGGAGAGGGAGUGCAGUGGAAUAAAAGAAAGAGGGGUGGCAGCCAUAAGAGAAGAAACACAAACUCUCCCCUCUACAAAUCAGAAAUCAUGUAUUCUUUCAUCUUUAGGAGUAGUUGUUCAAUAGAUAUGCAAGGCUAAGCUCGUUUUCUUGGUUGCAAGGACGCAAACACCUUCAGAUUUCAAGAACAAUGAGAUUUAUUCUUCCAUUUAUUUUCAGUUUGUAUUAUGAAUGAGUAUGUUUGUUUUCCUAUGCAUAUUUCCUGUGAUUGUUUAUCUUAAUUGCUAGAGCGGACUCUAAGUUAUUAUUGUGAACAAUUUAUUGCUAAGUUUGAUAUCAAAACCGGAGUUGUGGUAUAUAAACUUGUGAAGCAACUAAGCUUGAUAAUUGUAGCGGAACUACGUUAUUAAACUUAGGGAGAACAUUCGAUCAAAUGCAACACAAACUGACAACUUGGUUGUUAAGAUUAAUGACUUUAUCUAGAUCUUAAGGCUGCCAUUGGAUUAAAUCAUUAGUGCGGACACUGUGAUUGUUUGUUGGUUAGGGUUAAUUAUACAGCGGAUCUGUUAAUUAACCAACGUUAAGAAAAGAUAAAAAUUCAGAAUAUAAACUGGAGUUUCGUUUCAAGGAUCGGUUGUGAUUUCUGUUGGUGGAUGUGUGCUUGCGACCAAGGUUUGUUUUCUUGAUAUAUUUCAGUUUCAAUUGAUUUUGUUUAUUAGUGUAAUUUCUACCAUAGUUUAGAUCAUUGUAAAUCAAACCCCCCCAAUUACAUAACGUAUAGCAUAAAAAUCUGAACUAAACCUUCCUCGUGGGAUCGACCCCUUGCUUGCUCUAUACUAUCUUGUGUGUUUUAAGUUAGGGUAAUUAAUUUGUGCGACCGCGACAUCGCAACAGCUCAUGUGUAAAUCUUUAAAUACUACUUGAAAGCAGUAAUUAAAAUGAAUUCACACAUUUCACUUCACAUAUAUUUUAAAAGGAUUGAUAAAGCGGUUCUAAGAAUUCAUCAAGUUUAAAACUAUCAAAACUAGAAUUAUACAUGAACCAGUUGAUCAUUUGAUGAUACCAAAUGAACCGGUCGACUGCUUGCUCAUCAGGGAUGAACACCUAGAAAUUUAUAGAAACUGGUCGAUCGCUUCAGCCGUCAGUGGGUCUAACGACUGGUUUCUUUUAGAAACUUAUAAAUAGCUCUCAUUCUUGCAAAACUGUAAGAGAAUUCCGAACAUACAAUAUAUAGAGACUAUUUCAAAAGCAAAACUAGCUAGAAAUCAUCAAUCCUAACAUACUAUAAUGUUAUGCUAAAUUCAACCUUCAUAUUCUAGCACAAGAGUAUAAAUUCUCACACUCACUAUACUUAAACACUUUCAUACUUUCUAAGUGUUAUUUAGUGAGUUAUAGACAUCAUAGUUUUCAAUUGUAUUAUCUACUCUUUAAAAGAGUGUUGUCACAUUUCAAACAAUUGUAAACCUUCAAAAGUAUAGGUGAAAAACUCUUGGUCAUUGGUGAGGUGCAUCUACAAGGUAAAAAAUCUGAAGUUGAUAUUUCUUCAAGUGGUGAAUAAAGGGCUCAACAAGGAUUCAUCAAGGACAUUGUAAUCUCUAACUUGGAUUAGUAAAGAAUAUAGAGUCUAUAAUAAUAUAACACUGUGUCUUGAAGAAUUCAUGUAUGUUGUCUUCAAGGAAACUCAAAAUGAUAAAAUUGUUGAGAUUCUUUAUCACAUUAAUGAAUGUGGUCAACAUUUGAGUCUUAAUGAUAAGACCCCCAUGGAGGCUAACAAUAAAAAAAUAAACAAAGACCAACCAAGCACAAGUAAUCAAUAAGAGAUGGUAAGUAACUCUUUUAUUCCACCAAAAGAGUUAAGGUACAUAAUCUCUUACCUUUUUGAGUUAAUUAUUGACAACCAUUUUGAAGAACAAAGGCUAUAACUUCAUUUACAAAUAUAAAUGGUCAUUUUGUUUUUGUUUCAUAUAUAAAACCUAAAUCAUUUCUUGAAACUGAAAAUGAUGAUAAUUGAAUUUUAGCCAUGCAAGAUGAGUUAAACCAAUUCAAAAGAAAAUUAUGUAUGAGAACUAGUCCUUAGACAUAACAACCAAUUAAUUAUUGGAACUAAAUGGGUUUUUAGGAACAAAGUUGAUGAGCAUGAGACCAUUGUUAGAAAUAAAGCUAGACUAGUUGUCAAAAGUUAUAAUCAAGAAGAAGAUAUUGAUUAUAAAGAAACCUUUACACUGAUGGCUCGAUUAAAAUAAAUAAGAAUGCUUUUAGCUUUUUGCAUGCCAUGCUAAUUUUACACUUUUUUAAAUGAAUGUUAAAAGUGCAUUUUCAAAUGGUCUUAUUAUGGAAGAAGUGUAUGUUAAGCAACCUCAAGGUUUUAAAAACUUUCAUUUUCCCGAUCAUGUUUUCAAACUCAAAUAGGCUUUAUAUGGUUUAAAACAAGCAACAUGAGCAUGGUAUGAUAAAUUAAAAUCUUUUCUUAUUGAUAAUAGUUUUAACAUUGGUAAAAUUAACAUCACCCUCUUCACAAAGAGAAAAAGGUAAAGAUAUCUUGUUUGUGUAAAUAUAUGUUGAUGUUACUAUAUUCGAUGCUACUAAGGAAUCUCUUUGUAAGGAAUUUGCAGGAUGUAUGCAAGAUGAAUUUGAAAUGAGCAUGAUGGGAGAAUUAAAUGUUUUUCCUUAAAUUGCAAAUCAAACAAGCAAAGAAUGACAUCUUCAUCAACCGAAGCAAGUGUAUCAAAGAUCUACUAAAAGAUUUGGGAUGAAACAUGUCAAAGAAGUUGACACACCUAUAAGAACAUCAACCAAGCUUGAUAUGGAUGAAAAUGAUAAGAAUAUAGACAUCACCAAAUAUUUAGGUAUAAUCGGUUUAUUCUUAUAUUUAACUCCAAGUAUACUCGAUAUUAUGUUUUGUGUAUGUCUAUGUGGAAAUUUUCAAACAUGUCCUAAAGAAUUCCAUGUUAGUGCUAUAAAAUGAAUUUCUUUGAUAUUUGCAUGUACAAUUGAUUUAGGGUUGUGGUAUUCGAAAGGAAACGAGUUGAAUUUGAAUCGGUAUUCAGAUGUUGGAUUUAUUGGGUGUAAAGUUGAUAAAAAUAGUACUAAUGAAACUUGUUAUUUUAGGAUCAUCACUAGUAUCUUGGGCUAGUAAAAAACAAAACUCAAUAGCCCUAUCAACAACUGAAGUCGAAUAUAUUAUAGCGGGUAGUUGUUGUGCAUAAAGUUUAUGGAUAAAACAAACCUUAAAAGACUCUGGUCUUAAUUUUGAUAAUAUAUUGUUGGUUAAUUGUGUUUAAUUGUUUAUUUAAAUUAAUCACAAUAUUUGUAAAUAUUAGUUGAACACCUAAUUCAACUCUUUUAGGUGUUAUUAUUGCCUUAAUCUUAGAACAACAAUUUCCAAAAAUAUACGUUACUCCUCCUAUUUUUCACUUUAUCACUUUUUAGCCCUUUUAGUUUUUUAAAAUGCAUUUUAGUCCAAAAUUUUAUUUUUCUUGUUUCUUAGUCUUUGUUUUAGAGUGGAGGGAUAAAUUCGUUAGAUUCCAAUGAUAGAGAGAGAAAAUAUUUGUUGACAUCAAUUUAGAUCACUAAAAAAGUCAAUUUUGAUGUUAAUGGGUUCCAAUCGAUGAGAUGAGUUGUAAUGGGGUGUUAUUUGGCCUUCCUAUUGCUUGAGAUGAUAUAUUUGAGCUCAACAAGGUUUUUGAAUUCUGGUUGAUUUUAGGUUUAUGGACAUGUUUUUAGGUUAUUUGAUCCCAUAAACAAGCUUAACAAGGUCUUUAGGGUAUUUUCUAAGUGUUUUAGGUCACAAAUAGGUUGAAAAAAUAAAUUUUAUGAAAAAAAUACUACUACCCUAAUUUUUCAGCGACUCUCUAUUCGUUGGAUUCUGGAGACGUAGAUGACAUGUCUUUUGCCUCGUUUUAUUUUUUAAAUAGUGAGCAGACGAUGUGUUGUCCACCCUCUAUUAUUAGAAAAAAAAAAAAAGGCUCAACGUGCCAGCCAUGCCUAUGUUUAUGGGCCAGAUGUGUGGCUUGGCCUGCGCACUUGGCUGAAUUGAUAUUUUUUAAAAUGAUAUUUUUUUUAAUGCUUUUUUAGCUCUUUAAAAUUAAAAAAAAAUUUCGUCCUUCGUCAUUUAAGUUUCUCUUUUUGUUAUUUUCAUUAAAAAAAAAAAACCUUUUUGUUUAUCCAACUUUAAAAAAGGCUAUUUUUUCUUUUUUUAGCCCCACACUUCGUGUGACUAAAUAAAGAAUAAUUUAAGAGAUAGAAAGUUAUUAAAUUCAAUAUGAUACAUGACCCAAAUCAUGAGUUUAAUAGGUUGAUUUAAAUUUACUUGGGUCUUUUUUUUUGUCUUUUUUGAAUUGAAUAUUUUUAAUUUUUAAUUUAGUCUUUCAACAUUCAGUUCCUUGGGUAUUGAGCCUUGUUAUUUGUUUUGAUUUGCUUUAGAUGGAUUAUCAUGGUCUUAUGAUUUAGGUUGCAAAUUGAGCUGGUUAAUCUUGAUUAACUCAGGUCGAUCUAAUAUGUUGUUGUUACAAUAUUUGAGAAAAUAAUUAUUCAAUAUAUCAUCAUCUCAAUAUUAAAAAAAUAUAUCAUAAAAUAUGUGUUGGAUUUUGUAUUCAUGAUUAAUUCUUUUUCAGAAAACACAUCAUCAAUCCCUAAAGGUUUUUUUUUUUUUUUUUGCAUUAGAAAAAAAGAUUUAUGGAAAAGUGUGUUUUUAAAAUCUUUCAGUUCAAAAAUAUUGUUAUUGUUAAAUAAAAAUAAUAAUUUCUUUCCCCUCAAGAUUGUGUCGCUCAUCCAAAAUGAUUAAUAUAAUCAUAAUAUUUUUUUAUUUUUAAAAAAUAUUAAAUUGAUAAUAAUUUUAAUGAUUUUAAUAAAAAAAUAAAAAGUUAUUUUAAAGUGUUUUUACAUAUUAAUAAACAUUUUAUACACAAUUAUUAUGCUGCCAUCAACAUUUACAUUAAAAAAUAUAUAACUCUCUUUCACUAUAGUCAAAUAACCCUCGAAGGUUUAUCCUUUUAAUAAAUUAUUGUAUUUGGUAUUAGUUCAUCUUAAAAAAAAUUAUAUGUUUUUUAUACAUAUCAUCAACAAGUUUGGUUAUUUUCUAUUUCCAUAGCCGAUUUUAUCUUAUGACAAUAUUAUAAAGAGAGGUUUAUCAGCUUUUAUUGCAAACUAAAUUCUCUUCUUCUUCUUUUUUUCUAUUGAUACUCAUCUAAAUUUUAGGCUAACAUAUGAAUUUUAAAACGUUUAUUUUUAUUUUAAAUAUAAACAAAAAUAAUGCUAUAUAAUUGAUUAAUUUUUAGAAUUAGAAAAACUAUUUAAUUUAUUAUUAAAAUAAAAACCAAGAGACUAAUUUAUAAUUUAUUGUGUUAUUGAGUUUAUUUGUCUAAAAAUAUGCAAUGUGUAUUUAUGAUAUGUUAAACCGUUUAUUAUUGUGGUAAUUUUUAUUUUUUUAUUUAAUUAUAAAGAAAUUUUUUUUUGAUUAGUCAAAUAAUUUAUAUUUUUAAAUUGAACCCCACAUAUAAUUACAUUUCAAACAUUAAUUUUAUAAAAACUAAAAUAAUUUUUUUAUCUCACAACAAUUUUAACUAAACAGUUUAUAUUUUUAAAAUUACUAAUAAAAUUACUUAUUAAAUUCUUUUUUAAAAAAACUGCAAUUGCAUAAGCUAAACACUACCUAAUCUAACUUGCGUUUUGAAUUUUGUUAUCUUGACGGUGAGAUCAGCUGGCUUAAGGUUUUUAAAUUAUUUGACUGGAUGAUGAGCUGAGAGAGGUUUCUAUUAUCAUUACUUGUUAUUUUAAUGAAAGCUUCGUGUAUUCAAUUCAUGGAAGUCUGUACAAUGACAAUAAUGCCCUGAGGUAAAAGGAUUGGUGAGGGAGUUCCAUUUGUGUUACGGUGAACCAUACUUCUAACCUUCUUUUUUUAUUUUAUUGUAUUAGUUGCGAAUAAGUUCUUUAUUAUAUUUGAUUAUAGGAGUAAUUGACUGAUUUAUUUUUAUACAUUGGAUAGUAUUCUUUGACAUGUUCAUCCUUAUAUAUUUAUUAUUUUCUCCCAUAUAUUGUUUUUUUAUUAUUAUUUGAUAAAAUACCCCUCAAAUUAUAAGAACAUUAAAAAAAAAGGGUGAAACUUAACUAUAAAAAAUUAAAGAAACUUGAAAACUUUAGGAAAAGAACUUACAAAACAUAAUAACAAUAAAAAGAAAAAAGAAAAAAAAUGAAAGUACCUAGUAAAAUCUAAAGGUUAAAAAAUUGAUCUGAUUUUGUAGGACACGAGUUCUAAACAUUUUUCAUUAGUCUCUAUGUUUUUUCUAUAUUUUUAUUAAUUAUUUUAAUUUUUUUGAAAUAUUCAAAGUUUUUGUCUUUCUGAAUUUUUUAAUUUUUUUAGUUUUUUUGUUCUUAGAUUCGGUUAAUUUUUUAAAAAAUUGUAAUUUUUUAUAUCCUUAUAAAUAUAUAAGGAUAUAUGAAUUUUAAGAAAAUUCUCACAUGGAGAAAUAUGUUCAAGGAUCGAUGAAUAUAAUGUCCUUAAAUCAUAUCUCUCUCUUUUUGAAAAUUGAAAUUCACUUGCCAAUAAUUAUUCUUCUAACUUGAAUUUUGAUUUUCAAUUAUAAAAUUUUCUUUCUUUUCUUUAUUUUUUCCUAAGAAUAUAUUUAGAAAGUUUGUUUUCGUGUUAAUAAUUUUAAUGUGUUAAUAUAUAUAUAUAUAUAUAUAUAGACAGAGACACCGACCAUUAAUCUUACUAAAACAAAUAUAUCAAAUAAUAUGUGGUAAAUUACCAAUUGAGUUGGACUAGAGAUCCCUAUCUGCCCACUUAGUGAUGGAAUCAGGAUGACUCGAGCCGCUGAGUAAAAGGUGAUGAGUGUUGGUUGGAAGACAGCUAGAAUGGCGUCGACACCAUGAGCACUAACAAUCUGGCAACAUUCCACUUGUCAUGAUAUGAUUAGGGGGCGCAUUGAGGGAAGCAAAAUGCGUGGAAUGGUUCUCUUAUUUUAAGAGAAGGUGACUUGUCAACACGCAAAGAGAAACAAUAAGACAUACUCGAAUGACAGAAGACAUUGGGAAAAGAUGAUGGUGAACCAAUUUGCAACAAUAAUUUACAUUUAGGAGUCAAUAAAUAUACUUAUCAUUUUGACAUGACUCUUUUAAUAAUGACCCAUGGUUUUUUUAUAAUAAUUAUGUCUCCAAUUUUUAAAUUUAUAUUUAUUUACUAAUUCUUUGUGUAUAUACAUAUUGUGGUUUUCUUCGGUUUUUUAUGGAAUAUAUAUAUCAACAAAAACAAAAAAAGGAACUAAGCCUAGAGGUCAUUUACUGGACACACCUGCAUUGUCCAUCUUUUUACAAAUCAUUAUUGAUUAAAAAAGUGGUCUUUUUUUUAAUUUUAAUCUCUCUUUUUUUACUGAAUCCUUUUCUAGCCAAGUCGAUGGUCAAUUAUUUCAAAAUUGUUAACAAAAACUAAAAUUAAAGGAUAAACGACCAAAGAGAAAAUAGGUGGUUGUUUCUAUUGAUCUUUAGGUAAUAUAUUUAUGAUUUUAUAUAUAUUUUGAUGAUGAUAAUAAUAUCAAAAUUAUAUUAAUAAUAUGCUUAGUUGAGAAUAAGCAUUAAACAUGUAAGAAUACAUCAACAAGCAUGGAUCAAGUCCAAGAAGGAAGCAAAAUGAAUUUUUCAUUUUAGUGCUCAUAUAUAAAUCUUUAUAUCCUACUUGAUAAUACUAACAAAAAUGAAUUCACACACUUCACUUUGCAUACAUUUUAAAAGGAUUAAUAAAACGGUUCUAAGAAUUCAUCAGGUUUAAAACUAUCAAAACUAGAAUUAUGUGUGAACUAGUUGAUCGUUUGGUGAUACCAAAUGUUAUUUAGUGAGUUAUAGACAUCAUAGUUUUCAAUUGUAUCUACUCUUUGAAAGAGUAUUGUUACAUUUCAAACAAUUGUAAACCUUCAAGAGUUUAGGAGAAAAACUAUUAGUCAUUGGUGAGAUGCAUCACCAAGGUAAAAAAUCUUGAAGUUGAGAUUUCUUCAAGUAGUGGAAAAAAAAGGGCUCAAUAAGGAUUCACCAAGGACAUUGUAAUAUCUGGCUUGGAUUAGUUAAUAAUAUAAUACUCAAGACCGGCUUGGUGCAUGAGGUGUGGAUGUGAGUUUGUUGAACCACAUUAAAAAUCGAGUUUGCAAUCUCUCUUCCUUAUCCUUUUACUUUACGCAAUUUAAUUAUAUUGUUGGUUAAUUGUGUUUAAUUGUUUUUUAAUUAAUUGCAAUAUGUGUUAAUAUUAGUGGAACAUCUAAUUCACUCAUUUAGGUGUUAUUGUUACCUUAAUCCUAUAACAAUAAUUGGCAUUAGAGUCUGGUUCUCAUUUAUAAGUUUGCUUAGACUUUGAGUAGAAUUGCAACCAUUAGUUUUAAUGUACAAAAUAAAGGAUCAUCAACCUCUAGGCCACCUUUCUUUGAUGGUAAUGACUAUGCCUAUUGGAAAGCUAUGAUGAUUCUAUAUCUUCAAUCGAUUGAUUAUUGAUUAGUACUUAAAAGUGCAUUUUUAUCAAGGUUUUAUAUCAUCAUUUUGCACUUGAAGUAUCUAUAACUCCUUAACUAAAGCAUGUUUUAUAAUAACAAGUCUGAUACCAUAAGAUACCUUUAAUUUAUGGUAAAUGUUUAUCUUAAAUGCAGGCCUAUCACAUAAAUGAAAGGAUUGAUUGAUGAGUUUAAGUACGGAAAUUGAAAGGACAAAGAGAGGGCCAAACUUAGUAAAGAGAUGUUGGUUCAGUCCAAACUGGAACACUGUUCGGUCAUCGGGUCAUAUCUGGAGCUGUAGAUCUUGGAUUUAUGUCUGCCUUAUAUGGAUGGAAAGCUAAGAAAUAGGCCUAAAACUUUCAUGGGAGUCCAAGAUUUAAAAAGGCUGUUUUCAAGUCCAAAUUGUAGCAACAAUGGAGAAGUCUGAAUCUGUCCUGCAGCCCAGACACUGUUCAAUGUUUAGCCCAUAUCUCGAGUUUUAGAACUCCAAAUGACCUCCAAUUUUUAACCUGGAAAGCUGAGACAAUUUCCUAGAACUUUCAUGAUUUAAGUCUGUUCAAAUUAUGAUGUUAUCAAUUACGUUUUUGGCAGACAAUAAGAUAAGGAUUGUCACCAAGUCAAGAUGUGGCCACCUACUCAACAAUUAGUCAACAAAUCAAUAAUUCUGAAUUUUGGCCUAUAAAAGGAGGUAUUUGCCAUGUAUUUAGGCAUCUUGGUUUUUAGAUCAAGAUCAUGCUCUUGCUCUCUCUUUAUAUUUUGUAAUGCUUAAGUUUUGCUUAUAUUAAUCUCUUACUUAUGCUUUUCAUUUCCUUUCCUUGUUUAUUUAUGUUUCUCUCUUUCAUUAUGUUUAGUUAAGUUUAUCAUGUCAAGGUGAAAAGGUUACACUAAUGGUGUAAGAAUAAGUAUAAUAUAAACUCAACAUGGACCUUAAUAUUUGAUACUAACAUGUUUUAUAUUUGUUAUCUUGUUCACUUUUAAUACUUUGCUUGUUAAAUGGUUAAUCUAGAUUUAUGUUGUAUAACCCUUGGUAGAACAAAUACUUGGCACUUUCAUAGCCCAACCAUAUGGUAUAACCGACACCUGUGCUAUGAAAGGAAUUUGAUUUGUUGUUAACAUAAGUUAUAAUCAUGAAUGCCUGACAACAUUUACAAGUAUUAGCAUUAUUCAAAUAAGAUAACUAAUGUAAUCAUGUUAAUAAUUUAUAAUCCGAUUGGAACCUCCUUUGUGUGUGGUUUCCAGUUGAGUAAUAAAAAGAGUUUAUACUAUACUUGUUUGAAAUACCAUUAGUGGAUCCUCUAACCUUGACAAUUAUUUUAUCAUUGUUUAAUCUUUAUAUCAAUAUCACAUCUCAAAGCUCUCUUUGUUAUUAUUAUUGUUGUUGUUGUUGUUGUUGUUUAUAAUUUAUACAAUUAACCUCCUUGUGGUUCGACCCCGGUCUUGCCGGGUUAUUUAUUACUUCGACACUCCUGCACUUGGGAGAAAACAUCAAUCUUUUGGUCGUGUCAAGUUUUUGGCGCCGUUGCCGGGGAGGUAAAUUCUUGUAAAAUUAUAAUAUUUAUUUUAUUUUCUCUUUUCACCUUUCAUUUUAUCUAACUUUUGUUUUGUUUUGUUUUGUUUCCUUUUCUUUUCUUCUUUUUAUUCUCUUCCUACACGUGCACGAGAGUUUGGUCACGUACAUUAAGUGGUAGACUUUGUAGGGUAUCCUUAUCAUUUUCAGAAAAUAUGGCCGAAGAAGAUAACCAGUCGCUUCAUAACGAGAAUAAUGAGAAUAUUCGUGUUAGAACACUUAGAGACCACAUGAAUCCCACAAGAACAAGUGCACCCUCAUGCAUAGUUUUUCCUCCUGAUGCAUCUCAUUUUAAUUUUAAGCCAGGCAUUAUUCAACUUUUACCUUGUUUUCAUGGCUUAGAUUUAGAAAAUCCAUACUUGCAUUUAAGGGAAUUUGAGGAGGUCUGUAACACCUAUAAUGACUCAAAUUAUAGCAUGAACACCAUCAGGUUAAAGCUUUUUCCUUUUUCAUUAAAAGAUAAAGCUAAAACAUCUACAAAAUUUGAGACCAGGAUCUAUUUGUGCUUGGGAUGAAAUGCAACAAUAAUUUUUAAAGAAAUUUUUUCCAUCUCCCAGAACAAACUCUUUCAAAAAACAAAUCAUCACUUUCACUCAAAAACCAAGAGAAACAUUUUACCAAUGUUGGGAUAGGUAUCGAGACUUGCUUAAUACUUGCCCUCAUCAUGGUUUUGAGACAUGGAGAUUAGUUUCACAUUUUUAUGAAGGGUUAACACCUAGAGAUAGGCAAAUGGUUGAAUUGAUGUGCAAUGAAACUUUUGAGGAUAAAGACCCUAAUGAAGCAAUGGAGUACCUAGACUUGCUAGCUGAAAAUGCUCAAAAUUAGGAUACUACAGGCACUUAUGAGGCACCAAGUAAAACCCAACCUCAUACAUCUAGUGGAGGUAUGUACAACCUUAGGGAAUAUCAUGACCUCCAAGCCAAGUUUACAUCUUUAGCUAGAAAAGUUGAGGCACUAGAAUUAAAAAGGAGUGGUCAACUAAAAUCUGUUCAAGACAUUGUGUGUCAAAUCUGUGAAACUAAUGAACAUUCAACCAAUGACUGUCCAACUUUGCCUUCUUUUAAGGAAUGUCUCCAUGAACAAGCUCAUGCUUUAAACAGUUUCCAAAGGCCCAAUCAUAACCUAUACUCGCAAACAUACAACCCUGGUUGGAGAAAUCACCCAAAUUUCAAUUGGAAGAGUGAUAAUAAUAAUGCACAAACUUCACAGCCACCGUUUCAAGCACACCAUAAUUUUCAAAAUUCUCAUGGAUAUGCACCUCCUUAUGCUCCACCUCCUAGAAGAAAUCUUGAGGAAACAUUGCAUGCAUUCAUUGAAAAGCAAGAGACAAUCAACACUCAACUUGCUCAAAGCAUGACAGAUUUUAAAGAUACUCUUGCAAAAUUGACAUAUGCUCUCAGUUUUCAAGAGAAAAGUAAGUUUCCAUCUCAACCAUAACAAAAUCCAAAGGGGCAAUACAAUGUGAAUGCAAGUAGUUCUGGAAGCCAACACAUGGAUCAAGCCAAAUCAGUCAUCACUCUUCGCAGUGGUAAGGUUAUUGAAAAACCCAUUCUUGAACCUUGUGAGAAAGAUGAUGAGUCAAUCUCUGAGGGUAAGGAAGGGGUUGAAUCUGAACAUUGCAAAAAAAAGACUGAUUCCCCACCAACACUUCCAUUUCCUCAUGCCAUGACCAAACAAAGAAAAGUCAAUCACAACUCUGAAAUCUUUGAAACUUUCAAACAAGUAAGGAUCAAUAUACCUUUGUUGGAUGCUAUUAAACAAGUUCCUUCUUAUGCUAAAUUUUUUAAAGAUCUGUGCACUGUGAAGAGAAAACUGAAUGUGAAAAAGAAAGUCUUUUUAUCCGAACAAGUAAGUGCCAUUCUUCAGAACAAUAAUGCUUCGAAAUAUAAAAACCCUGGUUGUCCUACAAUUUCAUGCUUUAUUGGAGAACAUAAAAUUGAAAGAGCUUUACUUGAUCUUGGAGCUAGUGUGAAUUUACUUCCAUAUUCAGUUUUUUAAAGUCUCAAUCUAGGUGAGUUAAAACCAACUUCUGUAACUCUUUUACUUGCCGAUAGAUCUGUAAAAGUGCCUAGAGGAAUACUUGAAGAUGUGUUAGUACAAGGCGAUAAAUUCAUUUACCCUGUGGAUUUUAUUGUCUUGGAUACACAACCUGUUGAAGCAUGUAAUUCAUUUCCUGUUAUUUUAGGACGUCCGUUUCUUACAACUUCUAAUGCAUUGAUUAAUUGUAGGAAUGGACUGAUGAAGCUAUCAUUUGGAAACAUGACAUUGGAGAUGAACAUUUUCAAUAUUUGCAAGCAACCUGGAGAUGAUAAUGAUUUACAGGAAGUGGACUUUACUGAAAAAUUAGUUCAUGAUCAAUUUCAAACCACUUCUAGUGAAACUGAGAUUGAUGAAUCUGACGAUUUGCAAAUGGUUUAUUUUCAGGAAGAAUCAAAGGAAAAUAGUUGGAGACCGAAAAUUAAGGAAUUGCCACCACGAUCAAUUGAGUCCAUACCUUCAAGUGUUCAACCACCAAAACCUGAUUUGAAGCCCUUACCAUUCAAUCUCAAAUACUCAUUUUUUGGAGAAAAUGAAACUUUUCCGGUAAUAAUCUCUUCCAAACUUAAUGCACUUCAAGAAGGUAAGUUAUUACAAACUCUGAAAAUGCACAAAAAUGCAUUAGGAUGGACCAUAGCUGACAUAAAAGGAAUUAGUCCUUUGAUUUGCACACACAGGAUUUAUUUGGAGGAAAAUGCUAAACCCUCUAGAGAAAUGCAACGAAGGCUUAAUCCUAAUAUGAAAGAAGUAGUGAAAAAUAAAGUCAUUAAGCUUCUAGAUAAUGGAAUCAUUUAUCCUAUUUCUGACAGCAAAUGGGUAAGUCCUACCCAAAUUGUACCCAAGAAGUUUGGAGUCAUUGUGAUAACAAAUGAGAAAAAUGAGUUAAUUCCAACUAGGACUAUUACUGGUUGACGCAUGUGCAUUGACUAUAGGAAACUUAAUUCAAUGAUUAGAAAAGAUCAUUUUCCUUUACCUUUCAUGGAUCAAAUCCUAGAAAGAGUUGCAGGUCAUGAAUUUUAUUGUUUCCUAGAUGGUUAUUCAGGUUAUAACCAAAUUGAAAUUGCAUUGGAAGAUCAAGAGAAGACUACUUUCACAUGUCCAUUUGGUACUUUUACAUAUCGAAGGAUGCCUUUUGGAUUAUGCAAUGCACCAGUCACAUUUCAAAGAUGCAUGCUCAGUAUAUUUAGUGAUAUGGUUGAACGUUUUCUUGAAAUUUUUAUGGAUGAUUUUUCUGUUUUUGGCGAUUCAUUUGAUGAUUCUUUGACUAACUUAGAAAAGGUUUUGAGCAGGUGUGAAGAGAAGAAUCUUGUACUGAAUUGGAAAAAAUAUCACUUUAUGGUAACAAACGGCAUUGUACUUGGUCACAUUGUUUCAUCGAAAGGAAUUGAGGUUGACAAAUCUAAAAUCGAGUUAAUUGCUAACACCAAAAUCUGUUAAAGAUGUUAGAUCAUUCUUAGGACAUGCUGGUUUUUAUAGAAGGUUCAUCAAAGAUUUUAGUGUGAUAUCCAAGCCCUUGAGUAACCUUCUAACAAAGGAUAAUAUUUUUGAAUGGACUAAACAUUGUGAAGAAGCCUUUGUUAAACUGAAAAACUUGCUUACUUCUUCUCCUGUCAUUCAACCUCCUGAUUGGUCAUUACCUUUUGAAAUAAUGUGUGACGCUAGUGAUUAUGUUGUGGGUGCUGUCUUGGGACAAAGAAAAGAUAAGAAACCUUAUGUGAUUUACUAUGCAAGUAAAACUUAAAUAGUGCUCAAAUGAAUUACACCACCACUGAAAAAAGAAUUACUUGCAGUAGUAUUUGCAUGUGAAAAAUUCAGGUCUUAUCUUGUUGGCUCACCUGUUAUUGUUUUUAGUGAUUAUGCAGCAUUGAAAUAUCUUCUUUCUAAGAAAGAUUCUAAAGCUAGAUUGGUUCGGUGGAUUUUGUUACUUCAAGAAUUUGAUAUCACAAUCAAAGACAAGAAAGGCACCGAAAAUUUUGUCGCAUAUCACUUGUCAAGAUUGACAACAGAUUCGAGAUCUGACAUCACACCAAUCAAUGACUACUUUCCCGAUGAAUCUUUAUUUUUUGUCUCUACAAUGCCUUGGUAUGCUAAUAUUGUUAAUUUUCUUGUUUCAGGACAAUUGUCAGCUCAUUGGAGUACCCAAGACAAAAGAAAGUUCUUGAACGAAGUAAAGAACUUUUAUGGGGAUGACCUUUAUUUAUUCAAAUAUUGUCCUGAUCAAAUAUUUCAAAGAUGCAUUCCUGACAAUGAGGUAAGUAGUAUCAUUAAAUUUUGUCAUUUUGAGGCAUGUGGAGGUCAUUUCUCAUCAAGAAAGACCACUGCAAAAAUCUUACAAAGUGGAUUUUACUGGCCCACCAUGUUCAAGGACUCACAUGCAUUCUGCAACACUUGUGAAAAUUGUCAAAAGUUGGGAUCUAUUUCAAAACGUCACAUGAUGCCUUUAAAUCCUAUUCUUGUCAUUGAGAUCUUUGACUGUUGGGGUAUAGAUUUCAUGGGUCCAUUUCCUCCAUCAUUUGGUUUCUUGUACAUAUUAGUCGCAGUAGAUUAUGUUUCAAAAUGGAUAGAGGCAAUUCCAAGUCGAAACAAUGACCACAAAACAGUGAUAAAGUUCUUGAAAGAAAAUAUUUUGAGUCGAUUUGAAAUCCCUCGGGCCAUGAUAAGUGAUGGUGGAACACAUUUUUGCAACAAGUUAUUUGAGUCUUUAAUGAAAAAAUAUGGAAUCACACACAAAGUUGCCACCCUUUAUCACCCUCAGACAAGUGGACAAGUAGACCUUGCUAAUAGGGAGAUCAAACAGAUCUUGGAGAAAACAAUAAACCUUAAUACGAAAGACUGGUCUUUAAGACUUAAUGAUGCACUUUGGGCUUAUCGAACUGCAUAUAAAACAUCAUUAGGUAUGUCACCUUAUAGAUUAGUCUAUGGAAAACCUUGUCACUUGCCUGUGGAACUUGAACAUAAAGCUUGUUGGGCUAUUAAAGCUUUCAAUUCUAACCUUGAUGAUGCUAGUCAGCUGCAAAAAUUAUAAAUAAAUGAGCUUGAGGAAAUAAGAAAUGAUGCAUAUGAGAAUUCAAAAAUUCAUAAAGCAAGAAUCAAAGAGUUUCAUGACAAGAGAAUCUUCAGAAAAACAUUUGAUGUUGGUCAAAAAGUUUUGCUUUAUAAUUCUCGACUCCAUUUAUUUCCUAGAAAGCUAAGAUCAAGAUGGAGCGGUCCAUUUAUUGUGAAACAUGUGUAUCCAUAUGGGGCCUGUGAUAUCGAGAAUCCAAAGAAUGACAAUGUUUUCAAGGUAAAUGGACAUUGUUUGAAAGUUUGUUUUGACAAUUUUUUAGUUGAAAAUGACUCUAUUGAAUUAAGUGAUCCUGUAUAUAAAGAUUGAUUCUUUUUCUCACAUUGUUUUGUGUUUCAUUUUGGUGUGAAUUUUGUUUUGCUAGUCUCUCUCACCCCGGUCAAAUGGCGGAUAACAGUACUCCAUGACUUAAGUCGGUUCUUUCAGUUUCCCAUAAUAACUGAUAUAUGUAUAUAUUUGUGCAAUUCUUUGCUCUUUCUCCCUUCUUUGAAUAUCUUCUCCAACUCUCAUUUGAAAAUGGACACCACUCUUGAAAAAUUGAAAAAGUACUUUCCCGCUCUGCCUUAGAAUGCGAUUACAAAAAUUUACCGUGCUAGGUGUGCAAGAUUGAGGUUGUUAAUGAAUCAUGGAAUUCCUGAAGAUAUUCGUUGGCUGAUUGAAGCAAAGAUCUGAUUAUCAGGUGAGUACUCCAAUUCUUUCAUCUCAUACAUGCCUGGAACAGGUAAAAGCACUUUUGCAAAGAAACGUCGUGCAAAACGACUGAAACUCUACCACCGAUGUGCCAGAUGGACUUGUAAUGCAACAUGUCGUUCUUUAGGAAUGGUAUCUAUAAACCGUGAAGAUAAAAUACAAUUCAUUAAGGAUGGCCUGAGUAAGGGGUCUUUAGAUAAUCUUCUAUUGACUCUUGAGACGCAUCCUGGUGGAGAUGUGCAUCGUGCAAUUCAUGAUUUAUGGCCACAAUUCCAUAAAGAACAUGAUAGACUUAGUCUUGGGAAUCUAACUAUAAAAGACCCUGUUUGCCAGUUUUUAAGAAAACUGGAUGGGAAGCCUAUCCCCGACCCAUAGAGGGCGUUUAAGCUGUUCUUGGACGUAAAACCAAGGGAAGAUGUGAGCCACAAUCACAACUACCUGUACAUACACAUGCUUUUUCAAAAUAAGUAAGUAAAUAAAUAGAGAGAGUGUGUGAGACUCCAGCUAGCCUACAUAUAAGUGGUAUGAUUGUAUUUUUAAUUUCUCAUCUAUAAAAUAUUUUCUUUCUUCCCUUCAUUUCUACUUAACCCAUACAUUCAACUCUUAUUAGGAUGGCAGAGUAAGGAGGAAUUUUAUUGACUCUUGAGACGCAUCUUAGUAAAUAGUUUUAUCAAGGCCUAUCAGAAUACUUCUUGAAAUAUUCAUGUUUACAAACUCUCGCAUUGUUAUCACUUGAUUCUGCUCAUAUACUCAUUUAACAAGUAUUCUUAAACCUUUAUUUUCACACACACACUCUAACAUAUGAUUGUGGGUCACACAUUGGAUUAUUACAUUAUUUAUGUUCUUUUGUUAAAGGUAACAACUAAGGAAAAAGGGAUAGUAUAUAAUUUGAAAAAAAAAACAAAUUGAUAAUAUUGAUGAUAAUAAAAACGUAGAUAAGUUUGGUUUCGUAGCCUCCCUAACCUAAGCAAUUAAGCCCGAAGAGGUGUUUUAACACCUAAUACCCUAAAGUCAACUGACUUGGGAGCUAUUGGUCCAAAACUUGUUACAUGGGUUAAGGAGAAAAGCUUAAGAAAAUCAAACAUUGCAUUAUCUACGUAUUAGUAUCUGCAACUCAAGUUACUAAGCUCGUAGGGGUGUCUCAACACCUAAUGCUCUAAGACCAACUGGUCUAGGAGUCAUUAGCCGAAAGCUCGUUACAUGGGUUAAAGAUGCAUUGUAUUUUAAGUUAUAUGUAUAUAUAUUUAAAAGAAAAAAAAGAGAAAAAAAAAAGAAAAAAAAGAAGAUAAUAAUCUCAACCCAAGAAAGUUAACCUUAAACAUUAGAAUAGAAUAUUAUUUUCUUCCAAUAAAAGCCCCAUCAUCUAUGUUUUCAUACAUUGAGCAUAUAAAAAGGAAGAUUUAUUAAUAUUUUGUUUAAGAGAUAUUGAGCAAAUAUAUAAAUUUAAUGAGAGUUUGUUUAUCUGGAUAGAUUAAUGGAAGUUGAAUGAUGAAUGCCUUGCUUUGUGGAAUUUGCAAAUUGUUUUUCUAUUUUAACGCUUUGAUUACUAGGGACUAGUAAUAAGCUGGUUGGGGGGGUGUGAUUAGUACUUAAAAAUGCAUUUUUAUCAAGGUUUUAUAUCAUCAUUUUGCACUUGAAGUAUCUACAACUCAUUAACUAAAGCAUGUUUUAUAAUAACAAGUCUGAUACCAUAAGAUACCUUUAAUUUAUGGUAAAUGUUUAUCUUAAAUGCAGGCCUAUCACAUAAAUAAAAGGAUUGAUUGAUGAGUUUAAGUACAGAAAUUGAAAGGACAAAGAGAGGGCCAAACUUAGAAAAGAGAUGUUGGUUCAGUCCAAAUUGGAACACUGUUCGGUCAUCGGGUCAUAUCUGAAGCUGUAGAUCUUGGAUUUAGAUCUGCCUUAUAUGGAUGGAAAGCUAAGACAUAGGCCUAAAACUUUCAUAAGUCCAAGAUUUAAAAAGGCUGUUUUCAAGUCCAAAUUGUAGCAACAAUGGAGAAGUCUGAAUCUGUCCUGCAGCCCAGACACUGUUCAGUGUUCAGCCCAUAUCUCGAGUUUUAGAAGUCCAAAUGACCUCUAAUUUUUAGCUUGGAAAUCUGAGACAAUUUCCUAGAACUUUCAUGAUUUAAGUCUGUUCAAAUUAUGACGUUAUCAAUGACCUUUUUGGCAAACAAGAAGAUAAGGAUUGUCACCAAGUCAAGAUGUGGCCAUCCACUCAACAAUUAGUCAACAAAUCAAUAGUUCCGAAUUUUAGCCUAUAAAAGGAGGCAUUUGCCAAGUAUUUAGGCAUCUUGGUUUUUAGAUCAAGAUCAUGCUCUUGCUCUCUCUUUAUAUUUUGUAAUGCUUAAGUUUUGCUUAUAUUAAUCUCUUACUUAUGCUUUUCAUUUCAUUUCCUUGUUUAUUUAUGUUUCUCUCUUUCAUUAUGUUUAGCUAAGUUUAUCAUGUCAAGGUGAAAAGGUUACACUAAUGGUGUAAGAAUAAGUAUAAUAUAAACUCAACAUGGACCUUAAUAUGUGAUACUAACAUGUUUUAUAUUUGUUAUCUUGUUCACUUUUAAUACUUUGCUUGUUAAAUGGUUAAUCUAGAUUUAUUUUGUAUACCUUUGGUACAACAAAUACUUGGCACUUUUAUAGCCCAACCAUAUGGUAUAACCGACACCUGUGCUAUGAAAGGAAUUUGAUUUGUUGUUAACAUAAGUUAUAAUCAUGAAUGCCUGACAACAUUUACAAGUAUUAGCAUUAUUCAAAUAAGAUAACUAAUGUAAUCAUGUUAACAAUUUAUAAUCCGAUUGGAACCUCCUUUGUGUGUGGUUUCCAGUUGAGUAAUAAAAAGAGUUUAUACUAUACUUGUUUGAAAUACCAUUAGUGGAUCCUCUAACCUUGACAAUUAUUUUAUGCUUGUUUAAUCCUUAUAUCAAUAUCACAUCUCAAAGCUCUCUUUGUUAUUGUUGUUGUUGUUAUUGUUGUUGUUGUUGUUGUUUUUUAUAUACAAUUAACCUCCCUGUGGUUCGACCCCGGUCUUGCCGGGUUAUUUAUUGCUUCGACACUCCUGCACUUGGAAGAAGACAUCAAUUUUUUGGUCGUGUCAAUUAUAAAAUAUAAGGAUAGAGAAUAGACCUUUUAAACCUACCAGAACCGAAAAUGGUGUUACAAUUCCUAAGGCUAUGAGUGAGUAUAUGAUGGAAAUGGUGUUACAUUAUCCAUUGCAUGAAAAGUGUUAAAGACUCUUUAUGGUACUCACACACAAGAUCAUAUUCAACAAAUCAAUGGCGAGUUACAGUCCUUGAAUAAAUGUACUUAUUCUUUAAAAGAUUAUUUACACAAAGAAAAAUCUUUGGUUGUCUCUUUAUGGUGCAGGAAAACCAAUGGAUGACGAUGAGUUCAUCAUUUGCAUUUUUCAAGGAUUAGGAUCUGAAUUUGAUCUUAUAGUAGCAACAUUGAAUGCAAGAGAUAUUUUUCCAUCUUUUGAAGGAGUUAUUGGCAAACUCCGUGAAUUUGAAAUUCGACUUCAAGGAGCACGAGCAACUACUUCCAACAUUGGUUUUUAUACAAAUCGUGGCUGAAAAAACUCAAAGCCAUGGGUGAACCCCGGCACUCAAGGCUACAAUAAUCACAAUUUCACUAGAAGAAAUUCCACGGACAGUACUUCAUCAUCACGAGCUAAAAAGACUUGAUUCCCUCACUUUAAUAUAGGCUCAUCUAGAACUCGUCAGAAAUAAUUCUCACAUAAUGGUGGUCGUGGAUGGCAUCACUUGUUUUCAAUGUGGGGGGGCUUAAUCACAAAGCAGCCAGAUGUUUUGCUUCUGAUGAAGAUCAAUAAAAAGCUUUUGCUAAUAUCAAAAUUAGAGAAACUACAGAAGAGAUCUGGUAUUCUGUCACUGGUACAAACCAACUUAUGACCUCUAACACAAAUGAAGUUCAAGGUAUUAACUCUUAUCUUGGCAAUGAUUCUUUCAUGGUUGGUAAUGGUCAUGACUUGCCUAUCACUAGCACUUGACACAUUAUUUUUCUUACCACUAAUUUUAAGUUAAAUGAUGUUCAUGUGGUUCCUGCAAUUAAGAAGAAACUAUCAUAUGUCUCUCAAUUUAUAAGAGAAAUUAAUUGUUAUUUUUUGUUUUAUCCAUGGGGAUUUGUUUUCAAGGACAUGAAGAUGAAGUAGGUAGUCCUUAAGGGCUCCAUAAAGGAUGGUUGUAUCCGAUCAACCUGCAACAACUUUCAACAUCUUCAAUCAGUUUUUUAGCCAAUAAAGUAUCUAGCAACUUAUGGCAUGCAUGACUUGACCAUCCUCAAGCCCGGAUUCUUAUAAAGUUAUGUUUACCAUCUAUAAAUAAACAAAAUGCUUUCUAUGAAGGCUAUGUUUUGGGAAAAUCAACAAAGUUACCAUUUGAAUCUCGUAAAUCCUAUGCUACUUCUUUUCUGUAUACACUUCACACAGAUGUAUGAGGUCCUGCAUCUGUUUCUUCUUAUGAUGGCUAUUAGUUUUACUUAAUCAUUGUUGAUGAAUAUUCUUGAUGUAUAUGGUUCUUUCUUAUAAAUCAUAAAUCUGACGUAGCAACAAUAUUUUCUACAUUCCUCAAGCAAAUGGAAAAACAAUUUGAUGUUUAUGUUAAAAUAACUCAAAGUGAUGAGGGUGGUGAGUUUGUUAAUCAAAGCCUGCAUAAUCUUUUCAAAACUAAUGGUAUCAUUCAUAGAUUCUUAUGUCCAUAAACAUCAGAACAAAAUGAAUUGGCUGAACGUCGUCAAUGGCAUAUUGUGGAAUAUGGAUUAACAUUGUUAUCACAUGCUUCUAUUACGAUACAAUUCUGAAUAGCAGCCUUUUGUACUGUAAUAUUUCUAAUAAAUCGUCUACCUACUUCAGUUCUUGGUUACAACUCACCGCAUAAAGUUAUUUUCAGUUAUGCUUCUGCUUAUAAUUCCCUACAAGUUUUUGGGUGCUCCUGCUACCCAUUACUUGCACAAUUUGGUUGAUCAAAAUUGGACUUUAAAUCCACAUGGUGUGUGUUUCUUGGUUAUUCAAAUAAUCAUAAAGGAUAUCUUUGUCUUGAACCUUAGACAAGUCGCCUCUACAUAUCUCAUCAUGUGAAAUUUAAUGAAUCUCAGUUUCCCUACAGAUGCAUGCAGAAACGUGACACACAUGUUUCUCAGUUAUUUAAAGUCAGAGCACUUCCUCGACUACUCAAGACCAUGACUGAAAAAACAAAUGUCUCAACUCAAUAAAUAAUACAUCAUGUUUCAGCAAAAAAUGUCCAAAGUGUAUGAGUAUCUCAGUCUCCAAUUCCUGAACCAAUUCCUCCAUUCACUGCACUAGAAUUCAAUACUUUAGCACCAGAGGAUUCUCCCAUACUUGCUCCACAACAACAUCAUCAUAUGGUUACACGGGCUCAAAUAGGGAAGCUAAAACCCAAGGUAUUGUUCUCUUCAUAAUAUUCAAUACCUGCUUGUUUUGUUGCUGACCUUAUCACUCAACAACAAGACCUAGCGUACUUCAACAUCUGCAAUGGCAUCAAGCAAUGCAAGUUGAAAUGGAUGCUCUUCACACCAACAACACCUGAAAUUUGGUACCUAGAGAGCCAAACAUGAAUGUUAUCAGUAGUAAAUGGGUGUUCAAAAUCAAAACACGAUCUGAUACCUCUAUUGAAAGGUAUAAAGCUCAACUAGUGACUCGUGGAUUUACACAACAACCAAGCCUAGAUUAUGAUGAAACCUUUAGUCCAGUCAUCAAACCAAGUACUAUUUAGUUAAUCUUUACCAUUGGGCUAUCUCAAAGCUUGUCUAUCAGAUAACUAGAUGUUAGUAAUGCCUUUUUUCAUGGUGACCUACACGAAUAAGUAUAUUUGGCUCAACCCCAGGUUUUGAGGAUUUCUCCCAUCCAGAUCAUGUUUAUCAUCUCCAUAAAGCUUUGUAAGGUUUAAAGCAGCCCCUCGCGUCUAGUACCUAAAAUUCAGUACUUAUAUCCAGCAAAUGAGAUUCAUAUAAUGUCCCUAUGAUCAAUCUUUAUUCUCGCACUCAAGGAUCAGGCAUUCUUCUUUUACUUAUUUAUGUUAAUGACAUUCUUUUAAUAGGAAGUUCCUCUUCACAGAUUGACAAGUUUAUUACACACCUAUCUUUCAUCUUUCAUAUGAAAGAUCUUGGUGAUAUUCAUUACUUCUUAAGUCUUCAAAUCAUUUGCCAUGCAUCCACUGUCACUCAUACAAGGUAUUUACUGUCUCUUCUUCAAACGUUUGGUCUUGAUGGCACCAAACUUGUAAGCACUCCACUAGUAUGGGGGCCUUCUAUGUAUGCUGUUGAUGGUGCUCCCUUAGUUAAUCCUUUCCUUUAUCGCUGUUUGGUUGGCUCAUUAUAAUAUCUCACUCUAACCAGACUCGACAUCUCCUAUGUUGUUCAUCAAGUCUGUCAAUUCAUGCAAACACCCCAUGAUAUUCACCUCAUUGUUGUUAAGAGGAUUUUUCGGUAUCUGAAGGGUACUCUCAAUGUUGGUCUUCACUACGUCUGUACCCCUAUUCAUAAACUUCGUGGUUUUUGUGAUGUCGAUUGGGCUAGUUGCAGGGAUGAUAAACAUUUCAUUACUGGUUUUGCUAUCUUUUUAAGCGAUAAUUUGAUAUCUUAAAGCGCUAAGAAACAAGCUAUUGUGUCUCGAUCGACAACUGAAGCUAAAUACUGUGUCUUAACCUUAACUACAAGUGAGCUUAUUUGGUUUGUGCAUUUACUAAAGAAUAUUGGCUAUUGUGUCCCUCCUUCUACGUUGUAUAGUGACAAUAUUAGUGCCAUUCAUAUGGCCAAGAAUCCAAUGUUCCAUCACCGUAUAAAACACAUCAAAAUUGAUGUUCACUUUGUUCAUGAAUGGGUUGCGUGUGGUGUUCUCUCUUUGGUAUACAUUCCAGGAUCGGAUCAAAUUGCAGAUAUUUUUACCAAAUCCCUUUAUGCUAUAAAAUUUAUUCCAAAUCAUGGCAAGCUCUGUCUCAGUCCAGUCCCGCCUUGAGCUUGAGGGGGGAUGAUGAGAUAUAGAGAUAUGCAGAUGCUGAGAUCCUGCUGAGAUCUCUUUACUGAGAGAUCCUCUACUGGGAUCUCUAUGUCAGGAUCCUCCCUAUUUAUUCACUUCAUGGUCUCCACAAUAUUUGUAAUUCAAUAUGUUUCUAUAAUCUCUGUAGACAAAUUAUAUAUAUAUAUAUAUAUAUAGCAAGAAUCAAUCCUACAUAAAUGUCCAGUAAUGCCUAUUUAUAGGUAAUAACAAUACAUAGAAAUAUAAGUUCACCAUUUCCUAUAAGCAUCAUCUUUUUAUUUUUCAAUAAUAAUGUGCUAUAAAUAAUUGGUAGGUUGAGAGACCUUUUGAGAAGGAGCCCUUAUAGAUUAUGAUGCUAAAAAAUAAGAAACUAUAUUAGAAGACAAGUUAUCCAAUAAGGUAUAAUGAAUAACUAAAGUAUAAAGAUUUCUCACCAAAAGUUUGUUUUGCUCAAUUUUCUAGCUGAUCUACUAGCUAAAUUUUUAGUAAGCCUUCUCUUACCAUCUUUUGUAAAAGGUUCUUCAUCAUAUAAAAGUUUCUUAGCCAUCUUUUUUAAAGAAAGGUUUAAGAUGACAUAUUAUAGCUUUCUUGUACAAUAGAAAAAACCUUAAUUAAUUUCCUAAUAUUAGCAUAAAGUCUCUCACACUAUAGAAUCCAAAAUUAUGUUUUGUUAACUAUGUUACAUUUUUCACUUCCUUUAGCAUUUUGAAAAUUAUUAUCUAGAUUAGAACUAUUAAUGGUAUAUUACAUUAGAAAUGGAACACAUUAUACAAACUUCGAUUGUCUUGCCACGAAAUAGAGGUUAUAGGGCUCAUAAGAACAAUAGUUUCCUUUAUAAUAAAUCUAUCACUAAACUAAAUUGUAGAUCCUUUUAGGUUAGAAUAAUUUUUCACACUACAAUGUUCUCCUCUCCCUUACAAUUUAUACUUUGAUGUUUAAGAAUCAAUAGUCAUCUAGGGCAUGUUCUCAUAGACAUUAAAAUGAUCAUGGAUCGGUUAUUCCUCCUUGUCAUGGAUAGAAAAAUAUCUAGGUAUCUCUUGAAAGGAAAGUUGUGGAAAUGGAUCAUUUUGUCCUCUACAAAUUAAUAGGGAGUCCAAAUUUGACUACACGACACUAGAUUCAUGGAAAUUUAUAGUUUCCCAUGCUUAAAUCCACCAUAAAAUUCAAUAAAAGUUUCCUUUUAUCAUGAAAGGGUGGUUGGUCUUCACCUCUCACUUGGCAUUCCUCUAAUACCAUAUAUAUAUGUGUGUGUGUGUGUGUGUGUGUGUGUGUGUGUGUGUGUGUGAUUUAACAUAAAAGGUCUUAGGAUAAUUUACAUUAUCAAAAAAUAGUAAUAAAUAACCCGACAAGACUAAGGUUGAAUCACAGGGAGGUGAACUAUAUAAAAUUAUAAACAACAAAUGAAAAGGAGUUGAAGAGAACUUUUGAAAUGUGAUAUUGAUGUGAGUAUUAAUCAAAGAUAAAAGCAAUUGUCAAGGUUAGAGGAUCAACUAAUAGUAUUAGAAAUAAGUAUAGUAUAAACUUUUUUUAUUAAUCAACUGGAAACCACACACAAAGAAGGUUCAAAUCAGAUGAUUUAUCCUUAAUAGUUCAUUAUAAAUUUUUAACAUGAUCAUAUUGAUUAUCUUAUUUUAGUAACACCAUACUUUUAAAUAUUGUCAGGAAUUCAUGAUGUUAACUUAUGUUAACAACAAAUCAAGUUCCUUUCAUAGCACAGGUGUCGAUUAUACCAUAUAGUAGGCUAUGAAAGUGUCAAGUAUUUGUUGUACCAAGGGUUGUACAAUACAAAUCUAGAUUAAUUAUUUAACAAGUAAGGUAUUAAGAAUUAGUAAGAUAAAAAGAUAAGACAUGUUAAUAACAAACUUUCUUGGAUAUAAACAUUGAAGUCCAUGUUGAGUUUAUAUUAUAUCUAUUCUAACACCAUUAGUGAAAUCUUUUCACCUUGACAUAAUAAACUUAGCUAAACAUUGUGAAGAAGAGAAAACAUAAAUAAACUAGAUAAGAACAUAGUUAUGAUGAAAAGUAUAAACAAGAGAUUAUUAAAAGCAAAACUUAAACAUUACAAAAAUACAAAGAAAGAAAGCAAGAAGAUGAUCUUGAUCUGAAAACCAAGAGGCCUAAAUGCAUGAAAAAUGCCUCCUUUUAUAGGCCAAAAUUCAAAACUAUUGAUUUGAUGACUAAUUGUUGAGUGGGUGGCCACCUCUUCACUUGGUAACAAUCCUUAUCUUCUUGUCUGCAGAAAACGUCAUUGCUAACAUCAUAAUUUGAACAAAUAGUCUCAUGAAAGUUCUCGAAAAUUGUCUCAGCUUUCCAACAAAACAAGAAUGAGGUCAUGUGGACUUCUAGAACUCGAGAUAUGGGCUGAACACUGAACAAUGUCUGGGCUGCAGGAUAGAUUCUGACUUCUCUGUUGUUGCUAUAAUUUGAACUUGAAAAUGGUCCUUUUGAAUCUUGGACUCUCAUGAAAGUUUUAGGCCUAUGUCUUAGCUUUAUAUCCAUAUAAACCAGACCUAAAUCCAAGUUCUACAACUCUAGUUAUGAUCCAAUAACCGAAUGGUGUUUCAAUUUGAAUUCAACCAACAUCUCUUUUCUAAGCUUAGCCCUCUCUUUGUCUUCUUAAUUUCAGUAGUUAAACUCAUCAAUCAAUCCUUUGAUUUAUGUGAUAGGUCUGCAUUUAAAAUGAAUAUUUACCAUAAAUUAAAUGUAUCUUAUAUUAUCAGACUUGUUAUUAUAAAACAUGCUCUAGUUAAGGAGUUAUUGAUACUUCAAAUGCAAAAUGAUGAUAUAAAACCUUGAUAAAAAUACACUUUUAAGUACUAAUCAACAAUGGUCCUACCAUUAUCCAAGGUCACAACUAUAUUUAACUAGGCCUUAUUUAAUUUAUAAGACCUGGAAAAAAUUAAAUAUCUAUAUACCCAAAAGAGAAAGGAAAAAAAAAAGCCACAUGUUCUAUCUAGAAGGAAAAUUUGGUUCCUUUCUUCUCCUUUUUAAAAAUAACACUAUAUUUAGGAGUACUUACCAAUAAGUCUUCAAAUUGACCUAUAAUAAAUUAUAUGGAUGCACAAAGCUAACCUUUUGAGUAUAGGCUCCUAUCAAAGCCAAAUCAUAUAGAAAUAUAUAUAAUUUGCAUCCUAUACCUAAAUACAAAGAUGUUAUUUGAUUUGACUAAAAAAUGAUAAAGUUGUCACAUUUCCUUGCUAGGCUUAGUGGUAAUCCUAUAUAGUUGGAUUACGUCAAAGAUCUAUUAGCAUUUUCAUUCUUCAUCAAAGUGUGGUUUUAUUCUCUCUAUAUAUUGAGGUUCACUUGAUUUUUCUAGAGUGAAAGCCUUUCUCUAUAUAUCUAAGGCAAACAAGUUAUAUCUUUUUUAUAGAAUUUCUUCUUAAUAUUGUCCAAAGACAUUCUUGAAUCAAUAUUUUUAGGGAAAUGCUGAUUAUAGAUCAGUGUAAAUUAGUGAUACAAUCUAUGUAAUGCUAGAAGUGGGUGAUAAGAGAAGGGUUUUAUUUUGCAGAGCUUGAAGAUGUCAUUUAUGUGUUUAAAGAGAGAAGUAAGGUUAAGGUUUAUCCUCUUUUUUAGAAAUCUUUGGUUUCUUCAGAUAAGGAUUGGGAGCUUUUUAAAUAAAAUGAAAGGAUAGGAUGUUAAUUGAUUGAAUUGAUAAAUUAACUAUAAAUCAAAAUUAUAGUUAUUGUAACGGUAAUAUCAUGCCAAAAAGCUAGAAAACAUUUUAUUUUGAAAUUUCUUAAAUGUCUAACAUGUUAGACAAUGAAAUAUGGUGGAUAUUUUGGAAAAACAAUUCUUGAUUUUCCAUGUCAUUCAUGGUUAAUUUUAUGAUUGAUUGAAAUAUAAAAGGUAAAUCAAUAUUCUUUCAUUUAUAUUAAAUAAAGAAAUAUGGAUGCAUUAUUUAUGUCAAAGUUAAACCAUUCAUGUAUCAUGUGAUUAAGAACAAUAUAAUUUAUUGUUAGUUUUUAAGAAAAAUAACGAAGAAAAAUAAAAUUAAAUAUCAACCAAUAAAGAAGGUUAAGUUCGAAAAUCAUCUAAGAGAUUAAGUUUCACAUUAAGUGAUUGAUUAAUCCUAUAUAAAAAAGAACUUAACUUAUGGAUAUUAUAAAUUGAUAUAAGCAUAUGUUAUUAUAAAGAUGUCUGCCAGAAAAAUAGUAAAUAAGUGCAAGUUAUGCUAGGAUUAAUAUUGUACAAUCUUUAUAUGUUAUAAAUUGUUUGUUUAAGAUUAAGAUUUUAUAUUUAUGUGAGAUUUUAUCUCAAUAAAAAUAUAAAUAUAUCAUUUAAUAGCUUAAAAUAAUGGUUAGUGUUAUAUACAUAAUUUAUUAUGCAAUUUACUCAUAAUUUUAUGCUAUUUAUUGCUUUCUUUUAUGUAUGACAAUAUAUUUCUUUUCCUUAUACAUUUUACUAGUCAUAUUACACGUGCUUGAAUUCAGGUCGAAUCAAAAGUUAAUUUUUAACAUAAAUGAAUGUUCAAGCGUUUUAAGUGUGUUUUUUAGAAUAUACAAAUAGAAAAGACCAUAAACCAAAAGAAAAUGACCACACAUGCAAAGUUGCAAAUAUAAUCCACGGUGAACUAGAAGGAGGUGAGCAGUGGAGCACGUUAUAGUGAAAUCAUCGGAUCUUUUAGUAUUUCCUGCAAUUAUAAUUUACGAAUUCAAGAUAUAGUGAAAUCAAAGCUUGUUUUUCUUUUUCUUUUUUUUCUUAACAUAUUGAAGUCAAGUUACGAAUUCUUUGAUCAAGAUUAAGUGUCUAAUUAUAAUUUUUCGUUGUUGGAUAAUCAAUGAUCACUUUAUUUAUUAGAUCAACAAAUGAAAAUAAUUAAAUAAGGCAUUUAAAUGAGAAAAAAUGGAUUGACAUUACUCUUUAUUUAUUAAAUCAUAUACUUUACCAUCAAAGAAUAAUAAUAUCUUACAACCAUGAAACAGGCAGUCAAUUCACCAUUACAUCUUACGUGUCCUCUAAGGAAUUUGUUUUUUUCACAAUACGUAGGGAAUUAAGGAAGAAAAUGCCUACAAUGCUACAUCAAAAAGAAAGCUUCACAGCCGUCCAAUAAAUAAACACAAAUGAGAGGGGAAAGAACACAAAAGAUUAGCUUUGAACAGUCGUUCAACAAAAAGCUCCAAGGUGCUUCAUCUUUGACCAAAGAGAUUGGAAAUGACAGCACAUAAUGAUCUUGAAUAGAGUGAUCAUGUUAAAGUUUUAAAGCAGCAGAAGAAUGGUGAUGAGCAUAGCCAAAUUGGGCAGGAAGAUGCACGCACCAAUCUUGGGCAGCCCAUUUGGAGCUCCUGGUGGUACUGCUGUAGCUCCACCACCUGGAACUGGGGGGGGACUUGCUGUAUGAGAGGGCAAGGGUCCCUCCACAACAUCAGGUGCAGUUAACACUGGGUUUGGAGGCUCAGCUGGGGGCAAGGCAAAAGGUGAGAUUAGCUGCAUGAGACCGCCAGGCUGAGCAGGGCUCAUGUAAGAAGGUAAUUCCUUGCCCAAGCAUCGGUUCCCUGCAAUAAAAUGGAGCAAUGUGUUACUAAAUGGCAAACAGAUAUCACUACAUGUCUGGUGGAUAUAUUUAUUAUGGAAUUUCCAUAAAAUCUGAAAUGAGACUAACACAAAUAAUGGCAGUUAAAUAUACUCUCAAGUCAUAUUGUAUGAUCCUAACCUGAUUUCUACAUCUAACAUGUAAUAUGCGAAUCUAUUUUUCUCAGCCUAGUACAGCAUGAAAUUAAACUGACAUUUUCAUGAGAACAAGAUCAUCUAAGGAAUAAUUUGUCCAGAACAUACAACAUCGUCCAGGAUUCACUCUGUAUUGUUGCAUGUAAACUAGAAACAUCAGUGACUUACUCUUGUAUCUGGCAGAAGUCAGAGGGAAUUCUGUGAUAACACCGCUGAUGUUGGCUCCCAUGACGUAGGAGUUAAUUUCAACUGUUGAAUCUGAGAAGAAGUCCCAUGCCUGAGAUACAAACUCAUUGCUGAAAGUUUCCACAUAAACUGAGAGCCCAUGCGAUUGCAGCUUUGGCACAACAUUUGUAACACCACUGAGGAAUGAAGAACUUUCAGGAAAGACAGAAGCCUUGCUGAUGACCACCGAACUAGCAAAGUCUUUGAUGUCCUUCAGUGCUGCAUCUUCAGCAUCUUGAAUAUCCUCUUCAAUCCGGUACACAAGCUCAUAAUUGCUUUCGUCCCUAAAUUUCAUUAGAACUGAGCUGUUGGUGGACUCAAUCAUAACUUUCUUGGAAGUUGGAUCAUCAUAACCAGCUAAGCUCAAGACUUCAAGUACUUUGUCAGUAACGGGUAAUCCCUCUUUCUCUAUAAGAUAGGCUGCAUUCUGAAAUGAACAGAACAGACAACAAACAUCAGUCAGGGUGGGAACAACCUUCAUUUUUUCAAUGUGGACAAAAAUAAUAAUCACAUAUUCUUCUUCUUUUUGGCUGCUGUUGAAGACCUUAUUCUAUUAUUCUAUGAGAGAAAUCCUCAGGCGUGCAAUUAUAGCUCAAAGGUCUGUACUAAGCAUGUGAGCUACUCAUGAGACUAGAAGGAUGGCAGGAAGUUACGCCAAAGGAUGCGGUUAAUACAACCACAGGAACCAAUGUCAUCUUUAUUGCUACUAAAGAAAUGAAAAUGCAGAUUGCUAGCAGAUGAGAUAACUGAUAUGAGCAACCAUUGAAUAUGAUGGUCCAUUAAGUUUCAUCACCCAUGGAAACUAACACCACGUGUGAAAUGGUUUCCAAGUUGGGGAAGAAACAUAGAAGAGAUAAUAUGUUCCACUGACAGAACUAACCAAUUAAGCACUGCUUUGUUUACUAAUAAGGUGUAGUGUGAUGAUAAAUUUGAUUUUGAUAACAUGCUUUCCAUCCAACAGGAAAAAUGUAAAAUUUCCACAAACAAUCAAAGGAAUAUUAAGUGCAAGCAGUUUAUGCAAGUUCAAAUCAGAUGAUUCAAACGAAGGAUCAUGUACAAGUAAUGUGAGCUUAGCAAAAACCCACCUCAAUGCUAAUCAAGACACCAGAAAGCGAGCUAGUGUUCUUCGCCAAUGCUAAGAAAUCAGACAAUGUUAGAAAAUUCCCUGAAUUUCUGAAUUUGGGAUUCCGCAACAAGUAAUAUUUUGAAUAUGGAUUGGACAUCACCGCUACAAUGCAAAAAGAAAAAGAUCAAUACAAAAUCAUUAUCUUCAAUGAAAACAUUUGGACAAUCAUACAUCCACAAAUAAACAUAAAAUGGAAUUCAAACAACAACUAGAUUACAAAGCAGAAUUUAGAGUUGGGCAGGAGUCAAAAAAAAAAAGUGCAGAGGAAUAUUUCUGUUCCUUUUCUCACAAAAUUCUACCUUUCAAAAUGUAAAGAGAGCAAAAUCAAAAGAAUGGUGCCAGGCAAAGGACAUUUGCGUUUAGUAUUGUUCCAAGAAUUGUAAUCUCUGUAAUUCUUUUCAUGUAUUUAUUCUCAAAUCUCAAGUGGUGAGAAUAGCUGGUUAUGAGAUCUUGUCUUGUGACUCCCACGACCAAGACAUUAUUCCUUUGAGCCCUAGAUGGAUGUGUUUUUUUGGCUGGCCACUCUUUAUUUCUCUUCCUCAAUGUCCUAAAUUAUUUUAACUUUGCGAUCCAGUACUGAGCAUUCUAUUUUAACAGAAUGUGAGGAUUGAGUAAUGCCCCUCCACGUAAUUGUUUGUUCAUAGGCCAAGAUUUUUUCCCCCACUAAAAGGAAAAAAAAUUUAUAAAAAAAAUCAUGUUUUAUUGGGAAGGGGGUGCAACAGAAGAUUGAAAAAGCAAAAGAAGUAAAAGCCAACCAGUUUGAACUUACGAAUUAAGUUCUGAAUCUCACUCCAUGUUAAGCUAAAGGUGAAUAUCCCACUGCCUGCCUUAAUCUGUGGAAUAUUCUGUUCACGAUUGCUGUAAAUUGAUUGGGCAACUGUUGUACUGUCAUAAAGAUUUAUAGAGCCUAAGCAAAAUGGUAUCCCGUCUUUUGAUAUUUGAACAGGACAAUCAAUAACAUCAGCACCAUCUAAAAUAGCUUUCUGGUAAGCCAAAUCAGUGCAACCAGGGUAGUCUCCACUUGCACCAUUUUUUGAGAUGACCGAAAGGUUCACUGAAACAUGAGAAAAGGAGGACAGAAGAGCUAAGUACUAAUGUUCAAAAAAUGCAAUAUCCUUUGAAGUUAAAUCUCAUAUAAAAAGAAUCAGAAAAUAAUUUUGCACCUUGAGGUGUAGCAUUCUUGCCUAGACCAGAAAAACAAGCUGCAAUACAGAAGGAGAAAUCAGAAUCUCAAAAUAUUUAUUCUCCAUAUUAGGAGAAAUAUCCAGACAGGCAUUAUAAUCUUUAACUCCAACCGAAAGAUUACAGCUAGGAUAAGAAGAGAAAUUGUCUCAAUGGUUCUGAGUCAAUGAUAACAGCAGUCACAGUACUAAACCUUUUAAGUUCGAACAAAAUUUGAAUCAUGCAGUGAUAAGGAAUCAAGUAUCAAGCAUGUUCUGACAUGAGAAGCUAGUAGUAGCAACAGUUGAAAGUUGAUGGUAGGCAGGCUAACAACUGCUCCCAUAAAGAAAUUACUGCUAAAUGUCCAGUUAUUUAAGUUGAAAAAUACUAGAUUGAACCAAUAGUUCACGGUUUGUUCAGAUCCAUGAUGCUUAAAGAGAAGGAUUACAGCUUACCAAUAGUCGCAGAUGGAGUUACUGGAAAGUCAGAGAGCACACCAUCAACAGAGAAGUCACCAUUGUCAACAAAACUGAGAUACUCAGUUACAGGAUCAUAACUGUAAUUGUAACUCAGUUGGGCGUCAUUAUAAAAAUCUGAUACAAAAACCUCUAGCCCUGCCUUGUGUGCAUCCGAGACGAUAGAAGUCUGAGGUUGUAAGUAAUUACUUGCAUCUAAAGGCCAUAUGUAUGACUUAGGGAUAAGAAUUCCAGAUGCAAAUGUCUUGAUGAAAGUAAAGUUCUUUGAGAGAGAACCAUAUGUCUCAUUUGUUGAUGGCUCGAUGACAUUUGGUUCCAGAAACCGAAAGACCAGUUUUGUUAUAUUUAGGUUAAAUCUCUUAACAAUACUUCUCAAGAAACCCGCUUCUGGUGAUGAAAGAUGAUUAAUGACAACCCUUCUGGAUAGAGACAGUACGUAGAUUCUCAUACUCAAAUUGUGCUGUGUGAAGAAUGCAUCAUGCUGCAAAAGUAUCAGAACAAAACAAUUUGGUUGAAAUAAUAGAUGGGAGUGCAUGUUCCACUGAAUUAAAGGGAAGGGAAGAAAAGCAAAAGCAGUAAAGAAGGCUUCAUGUUAAUAAGUUCAUAGAAGGUACUGGUGUAAGAUUGCUUCUCUACCUGAAUAUUCAACCAUAAGCCUGGUGGUUUUAAGUUCGCCACAUCCUCAACAGUUUGGAUGGGAUAAGUGUUAUCAAACCUUUCACUCCGAGAAUAGAUUCCCUGAGCCACUGUCAAGGAAAAACAAUGUCAGAAUCAGAAGUUCAAGGCAGGAAUUGAGAAGUUAAGAAACAGUUGAUCCACACAGACUGGUAUGCUAAGAAAAUUUUCAUAGUCAAUCUCAUGAAGAUCAAUUUAGAUAAAAUCUCCUUCAGAGACUAAUGAGCAGGUCCCUAUCAGUAAAAUCUGAAGAUCAACAAUGGGAUAUCCAAAUCCAAAAACAAAACAACCCCCAAUUGGUUUUUUCUUCAAAUAUUUGAUUGAAGUAUCCUAUUUGCAAUAAAACUAUCAGUGUCUCUAAAUGACCUGAUGUUAUUAACUGUCUUUUAUGCUUGACCAUUACUAACUACCACUUAUACAUCAAGCAAACUUCACAAACAGAAGGACUAUAACAACAACAAUAAAUAAUAAGAAAGGAGAAUAAACAGCUUGUAUUUUUGUGUUAUUCUUAUGCAAAUAAGAGGGGUAAGGUCUUGAGUUUGACUCCCACCUUUGCAAUUCACUGCUAAUUUCAACAAAAAAUGAAAAGAAGGAAAUGGCAGUUGAUUCACUUGAUUCAUGCAAAUUUUUAGCAAUCAACAAUAAGAAAAUCUGGAUAUUUCAAAUGAUCACUUCAUGUAAUAAUAAUACUUUACAAGAAGUAUAGAAAUAAACAGGCUACCAAAAAAUGACCAAUAACCAUAUGAAGCAAGUUGUUGAAAUCUUAGCCGAACUCACAGAAUACAAGUGACAAUUCAUUAAGAGUGAAAUCCACUGUGAACCAUCCUCGGGUAGGAAUUCCAUUAACUAGGUACAACUUAUCCUUAUUUUUCAUAACUUGUGCAAUGCUAGUAGAAUUGUCAAGCCUGAGAUCAGGGGCACAAAUCCCCACACCAUCUUUAGUUAACUGCACAUCACACCAUAGGACAACAUCCGGCAAACUUGUAAGCGUUGCAAACUGGAAAGCAACUGAGCUAGAAUCAGGAAAUAAUCCUGAAAACCCGCCACGUGC
Molecule: long non-coding RNA, 37192 nt
Filed under: Populus trichocarpa (black cottonwood)
Lineage: Eukaryota; Viridiplantae; Streptophyta; Magnoliopsida; Malpighiales; Salicaceae
Description: long non-coding RNA (PTRI_LNC000356)
Rfam family: MIR2912 microRNA precursor family (bases 29156-29310)
Source: RNAcentral